CCCGCCCCUCACGCGCUGUCCGCGCGUCCCUUAGUCCCGCGGUGACUUUUGGUCUGGGGUCUUCUACCGUCGUCUCGGAUUCUUCUUCUGUAUAGCUGUGGGCGGUGCGUUAUUCCACAGGUGCUGCUGCGCCGAUGCUCCGUACGUUCGCAGUAACGGGUAGAGCGGAAGGCUCCGUGGCCGGGGAAGAGCGGCACGGACACGUUCCUGCUCGCUCCGUUGCACCGGAAUUUCGACGGCUGGGUUCGGCCGCUAAAUUGAUGGCGCUACCGGAAGAAAUUUCAGAAAAAAAGGGUGGCUUUUUCGUCGAUCUCUUUGUGAGAGUAUCAAAUCAGGCGGUGGUAAAUACGUAGAAGCAACUAGGCGUACUACGGCGUGUACCGGACAGCGUUGGCGUGCCGCUCUGCUAGCAGUGGAGAGCCAGAUGAGGAUGCCCGUGAUAUGAGAAAAGCUCUGUCCAGAGAUAUGGAGACGAAAUCAGUUGUACCUCACCCUGUGACACCGGAAGACAUUGAGUAACUCGUCCUGCAGCUGGCUCC
Molecule: long non-coding RNA, 539 nt
Organism: Grus americana (Whooping crane)
Lineage: Eukaryota; Metazoa; Chordata; Aves; Gruiformes; Gruidae
Exons: 4
Source: RefSeq, a predicted model, not a curated record